AUGGAAUUUGGAUUGGUGUGCGGAUGUCCUGAGGUUGAAGCAUCGACACUUAGACUUAGUCCAUACCUUGUGGGAAGGACAUGCUACAAUUGCCUCAUUAUUAAUUCUGAUAAUUUGGAGGUUAUUGACUUCAUGAAGAAUGGAGGACGUUCUGUGGGAGUAGGGGCAGUGUUUGACGACUGUUAUUAUUUUGUUUGUGAUUUUCCUACCACUAGUUUCGAACAUUGUAAUAGGAAAGUUAAUAAGGUUGCUCAUGAGCUUGUUAGGUUGGCUAGAUUUUCUCAGGCCAAUUGGUUUGAGGAGCCUAUGUGUGAAAUUGUACCCCUCCUCGUAAACGAUGUAACUGUUAUUUCAACUAAAUAA
RNAcentral lists this ribosomal RNA (363 nucleotides) under Triticum aestivum (bread wheat). RNAcentral describes it as "partial small subunit ribosomal RNA". Lineage: Eukaryota; Viridiplantae; Streptophyta; Magnoliopsida; Poales; Poaceae. The record is from RNAcentral.